AUGCUUUACACAUGCAAGUCGAACGGCAGCACGGGGGCAACACUGGUGGCGAGUGGCGAACGGGUGAGUAAUAAAUCGGAACGUGCCCGGUAGUGGGGGAUAACCAGUCGAAAGACUGGCUAAUACCGCAUACGACCUACGGGUGAAAGCGGGGGAUCGCAAGACCUCGCGCUAUCGGAGCGGCCGAUUUCCGAUUAGCUAGUUGGUGGGGUAAAGGCUCACCAAGCGACGAUCGGUAGCUGGUCUGAGAGGACGGCCAGCCACACUGGGACUGAGACACGGCCCAG
RNAcentral lists this ribosomal RNA (287 nucleotides) under uncultured bacterium. Its description in RNAcentral is "partial 16S ribosomal RNA". It matches the Rfam family "Bacterial small subunit ribosomal RNA", at positions 45 to 334 of the family's 1533-position model. The record is from RNAcentral.